RNAcentral lists this ribosomal RNA (497 nucleotides) under uncultured bacterium. Its description in RNAcentral is "partial 16S ribosomal RNA". It matches the Rfam family "Bacterial small subunit ribosomal RNA", at positions 28 to 507 of the family's 1533-position model. The record is from RNAcentral.
GAUGAACGCUGGCGGCGUGCCUAAUACAUGCAAGUCGAGCGAACAGACGAGGAGCUUGCUCCUCUGACGUUAGCGGCGGACGGGUGUGUAACACGUGGAUAACCUACCUAUAAGACUGGGAUAAUUUCGGGAAACCGGCGCUAAUACCGGAUAAUCUAUUGAACCGUAGGGUUCAAUAGUGAAAGACGGCUUUGCUGUCACUUCUAGAUGGAUCCGCGCUGCAUUAGCUAGUUGGUAGGGUAACGGCUUACCAAGGCAACGAUGCGUAACCGACCGGAGAGGGUGGUCGGCGGCCCGGGAGGUGAGACACGGUCCAGACUCCUACGGGAGGCAGCAGUAGGGAAUCUUCCGCAGUGGGCGAAAGCCUGACAGAGCAACGCCGCGUGAGUGAUGAAGGUCUUCGGAUCGUAAUGCUCUGUUAUUAGGGGAGAACAAAUGUGUACGUAGCUAUGCACGUCUUGACGGUACCUGAUCAGGAAGCCACGGCUAACUACGUG